RNAcentral lists this ribosomal RNA (202 nucleotides) under uncultured bacterium. Its description in RNAcentral is "partial 16S ribosomal RNA". It matches the Rfam family "Bacterial small subunit ribosomal RNA", at positions 332 to 525 of the family's 1533-position model. The record is from RNAcentral.
AUUACUCCUACGGGAGGCAGCAGUAGGGAAUCUUCCACAAUGGACGAAAGUCUGAUGGAGCAACGCCGCGUGAGUGAAGAAGGUUUUCGGAUCGUAAAACUCUGUUGGUAGAGAAGAACGUUGGUGAGAGUGGAAAGCUCAUCAAGUGACGGUAACUACCCAGAAAGGGACGGCUAACUACGUGCCAGCAGCCGCGGUAAUA